RNAcentral lists this ribosomal RNA (457 nucleotides) under uncultured bacterium. Its description in RNAcentral is "partial 16S ribosomal RNA". It matches the Rfam family "Bacterial small subunit ribosomal RNA", at positions 338 to 795 of the family's 1533-position model. The record is from RNAcentral.
CCUACGGGAGGCAGCAGUGGGGAAUAUUGCACAAUGGGGGAAACCCUGAUGCAGCGACGCCGCGUGAGUGAAGAAGUAUUUCGGUAUGUAAAGCUCUAUCAGCAGGGAAGAAACCCACCCUCCGGGGUGGCUGACGGUACCUGACUAAGAAGCCCCGGCUAACUACGUGCCAGCAGCCGCGGUAAUACGUAGGGGGCAAGCGUUAUCCGGAUUUACUGGGUGUAAAGGGAGCGUAGGUGGCAAGGCAAGACAGAUGUGAAAACCCGGGGCCCAACCCCGGGAGUGCAUUUGAAACUGUCUGGCUAGAGUGCAGGAGAGGUAUGUGGAAUUCGUAGUGUAGCGGUGAAAUGCAUAGAUAUUAGGAGGAACACCAAUGGCGAAGGCGGCUUACUGGACUGUAACUGACACUGAGGCUCGAAAGCGUGGGUAGCAAACAGGAUUAGAUACCCCAGUAGUC